CCUACGGGGCGCAGCAGUAGGGAAUCUCCGGCAAUGGACGAAAGUCUGACCGAGCAACGCCGCGUGAGUGAAGAAGGUUUUCGGAUCGUAAAACUCUGUUGGUAGAGAAGAACGCUGGUGAGAGUGGAAAGCUCAUCAAGUGACGGUAACUACCCAGAAAGGGACGGCUAACUACGUGCCAGCAGCAGCGGUAAUACGUAGGUCCCGAGCGUUGUCCGGAUUUAUUGGGCGUAAAGCGAGCGCAGGUGGUUUAUUAAGUCUGGUGUAAAAGGCAGUGGCUUAACCAUUGUAUGCAUUGGAAACUGGUAGACUUGAGUGCAGGAGAGGAGAGUGUAAUUCCAUGUGUAGCGGUGAAAUGCGUAGAUAUAUGGAGGAACACCGGUGGCGAAAGCGGCUCUCUGGCCUGUAACUGACACUGAGGCUCGAAAGCGUGGGGAGCAAACAGGAUUAGAUACCCGCGUAGUC
Molecule: ribosomal RNA, 465 nt
Filed under: uncultured bacterium
Lineage: Bacteria
Description: bacterial SSU rRNA
Rfam family: Bacterial small subunit ribosomal RNA
Source: RNAcentral